RNAcentral lists this ribosomal RNA (694 nucleotides) under uncultured bacterium. RNAcentral describes it as "bacterial SSU rRNA". It matches the Rfam family "Bacterial small subunit ribosomal RNA", at positions 10 to 749 of the family's 1533-position model. The record is from RNAcentral.
AGUUUGAUCCUGGCUCAGGAUGAACGCUGGCGGUAUGCCUAACACAUGCAAGUCGAACGAUGUCUUCGGACAUAGUGGCGGACGGGUGAGUAACGCGUGAGAACCUACCUUCAAGUCGGGGACAACAACUGGAAACGGUUGCUAAUACCGGAUGUGCCGAGAGGUGAAAGAUUAAUUGCUUGAAGAAGGGCUCGCGUCUGAUUAGCUAGAUGGUGGGGUAAGAGCCUACCAUGGCGACGAUCAGUAGCUGGUCUGAGAGGAUGAGCAGCCACACUGGGACUGAGACACGGCCCAGACUCCUACGGGAGGCAGCAGUGGGGAAUUUUCCGCAAUGGGCGAAAGCCUGACGGAGCAAUACCGCGUGAGGGAGGAAGGCUCUUGGGUUGUAAACCUCUUUUCUCAGGGAAGAAGAUCUGACGGUACCUGAGGAAUAAGCAUCGGCUAACUCCGUGCCAGCAGCCGCGGUAAUACGGAGGAUGCAAGCGUUAUCCGGAAUCAUUGGGCGUAAAGCGUCCGCAGGUGGCCCAUCAAGUCUGUCGUCAAAGAGUGGAGCUUAACUCCAUAAAGGCGGUGGAAACUGGUGAGCUAGAGUUCGGUAGGGGUAGCAGGAAUUCCCAGUGUAGCGGUGAAAUGCGUAGAGAUUGGGAAGAACAUCGGUGGCGAAGGCGUGCUACUGGGCCGAAACUGACACUCA